RNAcentral lists this long non-coding RNA (3819 nucleotides) under Solanum tuberosum (potato). RNAcentral describes it as "long non-coding RNA (STUB_LNC007423)". The record is from RNAcentral. Lineage: Eukaryota; Viridiplantae; Streptophyta; Magnoliopsida; Solanales; Solanaceae.
UCCUUUAUAACAUCAAAAAUAAAAUUUACAAGAGAAAUAAGUUCGAAGGUAAUAAAGAAGAAUUACCAAACUCAAAACAAUUCACUUAAUUAAAAUAAAAACAAACAAUCUAAUAUAUUCACUUUCUUAUCUCGUAGCGGUUAAACAAACUAUGAAUUAUCAAAACAGAAAAAAUGUGUUCAACAAUGGAGAAAAUAAGGCAAUUAAGCCACUGUUUUUUCCCUAAUGUAAAAUGUUACAGCUUUCUGGAUCAGUGUGUCAUUCUUUGAACAAGCUCACCUUUUGAAUGAGUAUGGCAUUGUACACAUAUAGCGGCAGAUGGUUAGAUGACAAAAAAUUGACAUGACAAUUACAUAUCUUACUCACUAAGACUAGGUGACUAAAAUUUGAAGAAAUAGAGAAGAAAAUGGCAAUCUACCGGGAUUUUGAAGCAUCCCCAAGGAGAAAAAAAGAUCGAUAGUGGAUAAAUCAAUUCUGCAAGAUAAUGAUGAGCUUGCUAAUAACAUCAUAGACUUAGCAGUAAAAUGUUUGACUGAGGAUCCAAAUAAACGCCCAGAUAUGAAGGAAGUCUAUGCCAACUUGUCCAAUUUGGUUGGAACAACAACGUCAAAUAAAUCAAUUAUGCAAGAAAGUAAGGAAGGCUUUACCAUCUUGUCCAAAUAUAGUAAGUUGAACAUGUAAAGCUCGAUGUAUAAACAGAAUAUCAACAUUUUGUAUUUUGUAUUUUGUAUUUUGUAUAAACAGAAUAUCAGCAUGAGUAGGCUAUAAAUGUCUGCAAUUUCAUCUUCCAAAUUAUUCUACUACUAUUGGCACUAGUUACCUAGUGUUACCUAGAAGGAUUACGAUGUAACAUAGCUAAGGCAAUAGCUUCAAAAUUCAGUAUAACGAGGAAAUAGAUUUGGAGAAAGACAUACCUGACAUAAUCCCAAUGUGCUUUCUCCCAGAAACAUGGCAACAUAUGCAAAAAGGAGGCUGGUUUUCAGUAUAUCCGUGAUAGUGGAAAAGAAGGGAGGUUUCCACAGUUCACUACAAUAUUAUCAAAAGCAACUUUAAGAUAACACCUUAAAACAAUCACAAAAAUAAAUAGCGUAAGCUUGAGACAAGUAACAGAAACUUGGCUGGAAAAUAAAUAAAUUGCAGCAGCUUUAAAAUAGUUAAUAUGCACUCACCUUCUAUAGGAGAAAUUUGAAAUUUCAGUCCAUAACAAUUUCUAUACCAUCAACUCCACCUCUUACCCAAUCAUUAUUGUCAUCCUCUAAAUCACAAAUAUUUUCUAAUAUAGUUAAAUCAGUUGUAUCAUUGAUGAGUCAAAUCGUAUACCAUUUUCUUCUCCCAUAUAAAAAAUGUAUCGUUGUUUAAUUGACCUUGGGACAAACCAUUCAUGAUCUUCAGGAUCUUGAACAAAUAUCACUUGUCGAGCUUGUCCAACAAAAACAAAUGGCUCAAUACUUACCCGAUCAUCUGAAUGCAUUAGAUGUGAGUAGUUCACAAGCGUGAAACCUAAGUCGUCUUUCAUAACUCCUCGGCCUUGAGUUACAUCAACCCAAUCACAUUUAAAUAAGAUGACUUUAAAUUUUUCAUAGUAGUUCAACUCAACAAUAUCAUUCAAUCUGCCAUAAUAUGUAAUAUUUGCUGAUUUCGGAGCACUGUCACUAGUACUUGCACUAUCAUCGAGACAACCGGAACCCCAUUAUUUUGGGUCUACAUGAACUCUUCAUACUGUUUUGUACGAAAUCGAUACCCAUUAUCAUAUGGAAUGCCUGCACUCUGCAGUAUCAUUUUUCCAAGCUCAGAAGCUUCUUGUUGAGUGGCACAGAGAGAGAAAAAGAUUUCAUCUUUGAAGAAAACAAUGUUGAAGAUAGAAAAUGGGGAAGAGAGAGAACAAGAAAAGAUCAAGCCCCAAAACAUACAAAUGUAGAAGUAGCCACCCCUUCUCAAGAAUCUCAACAUCAAGAACCAAUAGCUUCUCUAAGCAGUGAAAGAGUGUUGAGGAUGAAACAAGAACCCAAACUAGAUGUUGGUUCAGCUCUACCGCCGCCUCUGGUAAACACUUCAGAUCUAAAUUUUGGUGAUCAUAUGUUCUCUUUUCUGUUUGGUUCAGAGUAAAAUAAAAUAAAGGGCUUACUGCACUCACUUGUUUUCUUUCUCCUCAAUUUCUUAACAAUCAUGGUGGUCUUUUUUUUUAUGAACUGUGUUAAGAUUGUAUUGCAUGUUGUAUUAUCUUAAAUGUGUUAGCCUAUGUUGAGAGGUGCUGAAGAGGGGAGUAUAUUUUGAUGAUUUGUGCUCUCUUCUAGAGUGGUAGGGCUAAUGCAAAUGACUUUUGUUCAAAAAAAUUCUGAACUGCAAGAGUUAUAGAAUGAGUAUGAGACAUAUUGUUUGGCUAGUGGGUUAUUACAUAAAUACUUAAGCAUGAUUAGCAGAUUGCACUGGUUAUAUAUUCACUCUGCUUUGAUAGUUGAAAAGGGAUAAAGAUUUGAGAGGAUCAGGACAAAGCAACUUCAUGUUCUAUCAAUAAAUAAAUAAAAUAGUUAUAUGUUCUUAAAAGGAUAUGCUCUUUCCUUUAGACAGGUAAUGGUGUUUUAAGAUUAAUCAUUAGAAGCUAUUUUCUAUUAAGGAGUUGUCUUAAUUUUUUUUCGUUAACAUGUUUGCUCCGAACUAUUUUGUACUGUACAGAAGCCUACACAUAUAUGUUUGGACUUUAAGAUCUAUAUUGCUUGCUGUUCAUCAAAGUAUUAUUCUAGCACUUGGAUUACAUGACAUGUUGAAAGGCUUUGUUGGUUUAUUUGAUUUUCAUAAGUCCCUACAUAGACAAAUAGACUUGCAUCAACUAGCUGCCUGUUCCUAUUUGUUUUGACAGGGAUUUGCGCCACCAGAUACUUCACCUUCCUAUCUGAGGUAUCAAACUUGGAUAUCUUUAACGGCAUUACUUGGUCGGUGUGAAUCUAAUACUGUAACAUCAGAGUCUCCAAUUCGACAUGUUAAGAUACUUUAUUGAAAUUAUUUUCAAACUCUCUUGAUAAGUAAGAGUGAACUUUCAUCAUAGGUCAUUUUCAUGGUAGUGAAAUAGAUAAAAGUUGUUAGAGCGAUGAGUUAUUGUGUGAUAUUUGUAAUGAUUCAGCUGUUUAGCUGUGGUAGUCAUCUGAAAAAUAAAACUACCUACAGAAAACUAAUCAUUAAAAAACUGAAAAACUAGCUAUACGCGGAGGAAAUGACAAUGGGGAUAUAAAUCACAUGAUAUGCAUUAAUCAAUUAAUGUGAAAACAAUCUCCCAAAUGAUGCAUCACUACUUCGGUCAGUUCCUGUAUAAGUAACAGAACUCUCAAUUGUAACAUUAGGUAUACAUUUUCUCAAUCAAUAACAAUCUUAUCUCUUCUCUGGAAAGUAUAGAACUCAAUUAGGGUUCUAGAGUGAACUGUUCAAGAACAAGUUUCAAAUAACAGUUUAUAUUUACCUCACAACGACUAUUGAUCCUGAGAUAGAGAAUUUCACGUCGUUUUCUCAAGUUAAAUAUAGAAGAAAACAUAAUCUACUAAAUGUACACAGGUUUUUCAGCUAUGUUUUCUUCAAAGUUAUACGAAGCUAAUUAAAUCAAACCCAAGUUUAUCUUGUUGUGUGCUUACCAACAAGAAUGAGAGAUCGAGCGGAAAGAAAGAGAAAGAGAGAUUACCUCUUGCUGCGUGCUUCAGAUCGAGCAAAAUGAAACAAAAAUUGAUUUGUGUUUCAGAUCAAAUCCACCAUAGCCAUGGAAGGAAGCUUCAAAUCAAUCCAGCGCUUCAGAUGGAUUGGAGAAAGAGAGAUCAGGUAUUUUGGGAAUUUGAG